UAACACCAGCAGCCCAAGUGGUGGCCGCGAUUAUUGGGCCUAAAGCGCUCGUAGCCGGAUCAGCAAGUCCUUUGUGAAAUCGGGCCGCCCAACGGUUCGGCGUGCAAAGGAUACUGUUGGUCUUGAGACCGGGAGAGGUCGGAGGUACUCUUGGGGUAGCGGUGAAAUGCUGUAAUCCUGGGGGGACCACCAGUGGCGAAGGCGUCCGACCAGAACGGAUCUGACGGUGAGGGGCGAAGGCUAGGGGAGCGAACGGGAUUAGAUACCCGGGUAGUCCUGGCUGUAAACGAUGCGGGCUAGGUGUUCGAGUGGCUACGAGCUGCUCGAGUGCCGUAGAGAAGUCGUUAAGCCCGCCGCCUGGGGAGUACGGCCGCAAGGCUG
Molecule: ribosomal RNA, 381 nt
Filed under: uncultured archaeon
Lineage: Archaea
Description: bacterial SSU rRNA
Rfam family: Archaeal small subunit ribosomal RNA
Source: RNAcentral